Molecule: long non-coding RNA, 200 nt
Organism: Juglans regia (Persian walnut)
Lineage: Eukaryota; Viridiplantae; Streptophyta; Magnoliopsida; Fagales; Juglandaceae
Exons: 3
Source: RefSeq, a predicted model, not a curated record
CAGUAACUAUGAGAAGGAAUUGGAGGAGAUGAAGCACAUGACAAGACAAGAAUUUGUGGCCUCUAUUAGAAGGAAGAGUAGUGGCUUUUCUAGGGGUGCAUCCAUGUAUCGCGGAGUUACAAGGCACCAUCAACAUGGAAGAUGGCAAGCAAGAAUUGGCAGAGUUGCAGGAAACAAAGAUCUUUAUUUGGGAACUUUCA